GACGAACGCUGGCGGCGUGCUUAACACAUGCAAGUCGAACGGAAAGGCCCUGCUUUUGUGGGGUGCUCGAGCGGCGAACGGGUGAGUAACACGUGAGUAACCUGCCCUUGACUUUGGGAUAACUUCAGGAAACUGGGGCUAAUACCGGAUAGGAGCUCCUGCUGCAUGGUGGGGGUUGGAAAGUUUCGGCGGUUGGGGAUGGACUCGCGGCUUAUCAGCUUGUUGGUGGGGUAGUGGCUUACCAAGGCUUUGACGGGUAGCCGGCCUGAGAGGGUGACCGGCCACAUUGGGACUGAGAUACGGACCAGACUCCUACGGGAGGCAGCAGUGGGGAAUAUUGCACAAUGGGCGGAAGCCUGAUGCAGCAACGCCGCGUGCGGGAUGACGGCCUUCGGGUUGUAAACCGCUUUCGCCUGUGACGAAGCGUGAGUGACGGUAAUGGGUAAAGAAGCACCGGCUAACUACGUG
This 468-nucleotide ribosomal RNA is filed under the name uncultured bacterium. Its description in RNAcentral is "partial 16S ribosomal RNA". It matches the Rfam family "Bacterial small subunit ribosomal RNA", at positions 28 to 507 of the family's 1533-position model. The record is from RNAcentral.